GUCCUUUUUGCAAAAUGUUGAUGAUUUGUUGUUAUGUAGCCCUAGCUAUGAGGCAAGCACUGUGGAUACUGUCAGCAACUGUGGGUCACAAGGUUGUUAAACACAAAAUGCAAUUGUGUAAAUCAAAGGUUGAAUACUUAGGUUUUGUUCUGGCUUUAGGCACCAGACAAUUGAGUCCAAAAUGUAUUGAGGUCAUUCAGAGGAUUCCAACACCCACUACUCGGAAGGAGUUGCUCACCUUCCUCGGCAUGAUUAAUUACUGCCGCCAAUGGAUCCCUGAAUGCUCCCAUUAUGACUCAAUCCUAAGGGAGGCUGUACGUUCUGACAGCCCUGAAAAUGUCUGCUGGUCACCAGACAUGCUAUCUGCAUAUAUUGCCCUUACAGUUGUUAUUGUGCAAGCCCAGGCUUUAGGACUACCUGUGUAUUGUAAACCAUUUCAUUUGUAUGCUUGGGACAAUUGUAAAACCAUGGCCGCGGUCUGUGCACAAGAGCAAGGAGGCGGUAUGCGUCCCAUAGCAUUCUUUUCCAAAGUAGUUCGAGCUCCGGUACAGGGUAUGCCGGCGUGUCUCAGAGCAUUGAUAGCAUGUGCAAUGGCUGUUGAAACUGCUACUACUAUCACACUAGGGCAUCCUACAAUACUUCAUGCCAGUCACCAGGUCACUCAGCUGAUGACAAAUCUCACCACACAACACAUGACAGCCCAGCGCUUCAGUGGUUAUGAGAUUUUUUUUUUUUUUUUUUUAAAUACCCAGAAUCUGUCUUUUGGAUUAAACAAGGUUUAGAGAAAGAUCAAAAUGAUCUGUUCUCUAAAGAGGGGAGAAUAGGCAUACUUGAAGAAUAGGCAUACUUGAAGCAAGCUGAUUUAUUUUCAUCAGUCAGGCACAUAGCAAGCACCAUUCAAUUCUUCAUGAAUUCAUUUUAUAUUAGGAAUCUUAGGCAGCAUGUACAGUCUUUUGUAAGAUCAUGUGAACCAUGUAUGAGAACACAUCCAAAUAUUCCACACAAAUCACAGCAUGAACAUUUGCCCCCUCCAGCUGCUCCUUUUACACACUUACAGAUUGAUUUUACUCAUGUACCCAAAAUUGGUAAGAAACAGCAAUACUUACUGGUCAUAGUUGAUCAGUUUAGUAGAUGGCCCGAAGCCUUUGUGACAUCCAGGGAAGAUGCUAGGACUGUAGUGAAGAUUCUUGCUACUGAAAUUAUUCCCAGGUAUGGCUGCCCUCUGCAGAUUGGCUCUGAUAAUGGCCCGGUUUUUGCCAGUAAGGUUGCCCAGGAACUUGCUAAAUUCUUGCAAGUUACCUGGCAGUUUCAUAUACCCUAUCAUCCACAGAAUACAGGGGUAGUUGAAAGGAUGAAUAGGACUAUUAAGGAAAAGCCCAGAAUUUACCCAGGAACAUGGGUAAAUUGGACUAGAUAUCUACCAGCUAUUUUAGCUGAGAUAAGAGUGAUUCCUCACAAGGUGACUAAAUUAUCUCCAUUUGAGAUUUUGAUGGGAUGACCUUUUCCCACACCCUGGGCCAGGGAACCGCUUGUUAUAAUGUCUGUGGAUUUACAGCUAAUACAAGAACAAUAUGUACAGGAGUUGUUGAUAAAACCGAAUGGUAUGUAUGACAAUGUUUCUUCGCAGUUUUCCCUUACCUUCACAGGAACCUACUCAUUCAUACCAGCCCGGUGACAAGGUGUAUAUCCGUCAGCUGAACAGGACCAAGAAAGGAGGAUACCCUUUUGGACCACCUGCUACUGUGAUUGCUGUAACCAGAACCGCUGUCCACAGAUUCCCAUGACAUCUGGAUUCACGCAUCCCGAGUGAAGCUGUGUCCAAAGAGGGGAACCAAGGAAGACAACACCACUCCUCGCUCGGAAACAGAAGAAUUUCUCCUCAGCGAAGCAUCAUGGCUUUUACACCAUAUCGUAGAUUGAGAGGAUCAUACGUACCUGAGACCAAGAUUAUGUUGUGCGCUAUGCUUUCUGGAGUUGUUAUACUCCCUCUGAUAUUGUUCCUUGAAUGCCAUUAUGAGUACAAGUCAAUGGCAAGUUCUGGAAAAAGACUCUGACAUGAUGAACAAUUCUUCAAUACCCCCAGCCCAAUUAGGCCUUAGCCCCUCAUCUAGCAUUCGUCACACACGCCCCCUCAAGAACCUUUUUCCACCACCUUUCUAUCAGCAUGCAAUAUGCAAUCAUUCAUUCACUGAACGCAUUUGGAUGAAUUGGACAAAUAGUAACCCUUAUAAGUACCAGUUACCCAUAUGAAAUGUGUCUACAGCUAAUGAAACCGAUGCAUUAUGUUUGUUUAAAGGUUCACAGAAAAUUGUUAGAUCUUAUAACGCAGAAAUGUGCACAGUUAAGGUUGCAUAUCAAUGUAAACAGACAGGUCUUAUUACUUUUAAUAAUGAUUAUAUAACUGGUAUCAUUAAUUGGAGAAGGGGACAAAUGUUAGUCAUUAUGAACAACACUACAAUUGAGAACUAUACACUACCUUAUAUUUUUACACCUUAUUACUGUCCUUCAUCCACUAUCAUAGAACCAAAAGUCAAACACGACACACACACACCUAUUCCGUCCACAUGUGUUAAUACAACUGCCUUCUUACAAGCUGUACAUGUGUCAUUAAAAGUCACUACUCUUGUUGUAACAUUAUGUAAUACAGCAAACAAAGGCAGAAAAGGGAAUGGUAUGACACACUGUUAGAUGGUGCUGGAACCACUAUGGGUAUACUAAAUAGUUAUAGAUAUGGAGACCCUCAAGAAUAAGUUAAACACAGCCAGCAUGCAUAUAGGGACUGGUUUUCAUGCUACUGCAAAUUGGGCUCCAAUUGUUGUUAAAUCACAGGUUACAGGAUUGGAUUUAGAUAAAUCAAUGUAUAAUUAUUUAGAUAAUUUAACUGUUGCAACUAUGAAAUUCACUACAGGUCUAGGUAACUGGAGUAUUUGUGCCAUCAGGUAUUUAUGGAUACAACAACAAGGAUUGGCAUUAGAAAACACACUAAUGAUUCCUAAACUAGAGAAGAUUAGAGGAAUGUGUAACCUCACAGAUAAUGAUUGGUUACUUCUAAAACCCCAAUCCAGUAAAUGCAAUGGAUGGUUAACUGGUAAUGUUUCACAUUUUUCAUGCUCAUGCUAUUUAACAUUAUAUCAUACAUUAUCAAAGGAUGUUAAAUUAGCUUGUCAAUUUAACACAUUACCAGUACCAGUUUAUGAUCUUUUUGCCAAGAAUUUAACCUGGUGGGCACCCACAUACACAGGGGACUAUAUUUUUCCCAAAGAUAACAUACACAGGUAGCCACACAUAUCCUAAAAGGAGAACUCCUUAAGGUGAGUUCACAAAUUCAGAAUGAUUUAGCCCAUCAUUGGUACGAUGCUUCACUGGUUGGUCCCCUACUGGAUCUCAGAUAAUGAAAUCAUUCUUCUAUCAUUUUGUUAUUAUAGUCCUGAUUUUAUUGUGUAUGAUUUUAUAUAACUGUCACCUUACUUGUACAUUGAGGAAGUGAGUACAGAAAUGAAUCCAUAAUGCAGAACAGAAACAAUUAGAAAUUCUCCUCUCUGCCACUGUAGAGUAUCAACCCAUCUUUAAACUGGGCCUUAGGAAUUACCACAUGGGAAUCGAGGUGAAGAAAUUAAUGAAAGUCCCGCAGGGAGUGACUAGCACCCCUGAAAAUACCAUGUGGAAGUUUCUCUGUCCUGGUAAGAUUUUAUCGAUAAGAUGAGCAAUUGUUUUAUUGCUCAAAGAGGGGAAUGUAAGAAUAUUAAAUAGUUAACUUGUUUAUAUGUAUUUUAUGCUUUUAUAAGGUUUAUAACAUGAUUAUUGCUGACUGAAGGGAUAUUGAAUACUUAAAGUCAAUAUGCUGACUGUGACAGACUAAGGUAUUUCUUCUAUAGGAUGUAAGACAAUGCUAAAUUUCAGGAUGUCUUGCCCAUUCCGAUUUUAAGGAUAUUCUUUUCCAGACGUAUGCAAAAGCUUAUCUUUCCAUUGUCAGAAUAACGUAAUAUAAGGAAGUAAUAAAUCUUAUAGUCUGUACUGUAUUUGCAUAUACCAUGGCUAAUGUAAGCAAACUAUGUAUAAAAGCCAGCUCUGGAAUACACUCAUUUGAGAGUCUUGUAAA
RNAcentral lists this long non-coding RNA (4099 nucleotides) under Pelobates cultripes (western spadefoot toad). The record is from RNAcentral. Lineage: Eukaryota; Metazoa; Chordata; Amphibia; Anura; Pelobatidae.